Molecule: transfer RNA, 72 nt
Filed under: Burkholderia lata
Lineage: Bacteria; Pseudomonadati; Pseudomonadota; Betaproteobacteria; Burkholderiales; Burkholderiaceae
Description: tRNA-Arg
Source: RNAcentral
UCCGGCGACGGCGCGGGUUUCGGUGCGGCGGCCUUCGGGGCAGCCGGGGCGGGUGCGGCCGGCCGCUCGACC